Molecule: ribosomal RNA, 253 nt
Filed under: uncultured bacterium
Lineage: Bacteria
Description: partial 16S ribosomal RNA
Rfam family: Bacterial small subunit ribosomal RNA
Source: RNAcentral
GACAGAGGCCUCAAGCGUUAGGCGGAAUCACUGGGCUUAAAGCGUGUGUAGGCGGACUUCUAAGUGCCUUGUGAAAUCCCACGGCUCAACCGUGGAACUGCUGGGCAUACUGGGAGUCUUGGGCCAUUCAGGGGCAACUGGAACAAGCGGUGGAGCGGUGAAAUGCGUAGAUAUCCGAAGGAACAUCAGUGGCGAAAGCGACUUCCUGGACCAGAACUGACGAUCAGGCACGAAAGCGUGGGGAGCAAACAGG